CGGUAGAUGCACCCUGAUUCAGACCCCUGAGGAUAGCUAACUCAGGGGUCUUUUUGU
This 57-nucleotide small RNA is filed under the name Phormidium tenue NIES-30. Its description in RNAcentral is "Nitrogen stress-induced RNA 1". It matches the Rfam family "Nitrogen stress-induced RNA 1". Lineage: Bacteria; Bacillati; Cyanobacteriota; Cyanophyceae; Oscillatoriales; Oscillatoriaceae. The record is from Rfam by way of RNAcentral.